AAUAUCAAGAUAUUUGCUAAUCUCUUGUUAACGUCAUAUCUGCGUUUAUUAAUUGAUAGUAAUUUUGCAUUCUGCUGAUAGAAGUGUGUUUCGCCUAAGUAAAACAACUUACAUAACAGUUAUCUACGAUACUAAAAUAUAAAAUACAUAUCAUCAAGAUGCCGGGUAACGUUCAAGAAGGUUUUUCUACGAAAGCUAUUCACGCUGGCCAGGAUCCAGCGCAAUGGAAUCAUUGGUCGUUGGUUCCUCCUUUAGUAAUGUCUACUACUUUUCAACAAAGUCAUCCAGGAGAAAGUCAUGGCUUCGAGUAUGGUAGAAGUGGCAACCCGACGCGUAACGUAUUGGAAACGUGUUUAGCAGCAUUGGAAGAUGGAAAGCACGGUUUUACUUUUUCAUCGGGUUUGGGAGCCAUCACGGCUGUGACAGGUUUACUCGAAACUGGAGAUCAUGUCAUUUCUGGGGACGAUGUCUAUGGCGGAACUAAUCGUUUUUUUCAAAAGUGCUUAGUUAAACAAGGUAUUAAGGUAUCUUUCGUGGACCUGAUAGAUACCAAAAACCUCUUGGCUGCUUUACAACCAAACACCAAGAUGGUAUGGUUGGAGACACCUACGAAUCCUCUAUUAAGAUUAGCAGAUAUCGAAGAAAUUGCCAAAGUUUUAAAGUCCCAAAAUCCAGAUAUUAUUUUUAUCGUCGAUAAUACUUUUCUGACGUGCUAUUAUCAGAAACCAUUAGAACUCGGAGCUGAUUUUGUAGUAUAUUCUCUGACUAAAUAUAUGAAUGGACAUUCGGAUAUUAUCAUGGGUGCAGCGAUUACAAGGAGAGAUGAUUUAGCGGACAGACUUCGUUUUCUACAAAAUGCAAUGGGAGUAGUUCCAUCGCCUUACGAUUGUGCUAUGGUUAAUCGUAGUUUAAAAACAUUAGAACUUAGAAUGCAACAGCAUAUGAAAAAUGGAUUAGCCGUUGCCAAAUUUUUGGAAAAACAUCCUCUAGUGGACAAAGUUAUUCAUCCUUAUUUACCGUCUCAUCCGCAGCAUCAACUUGCUUUAAAACAAUCGACUGGUCACAGUGGCAUCGUUUCGUUUUAUAUUAAAGGAAAUGCUCAAAAAUUUUUGAAGAGUCUUCGUUUAUUUGCUUUAGCAGAAUCACUUGGUGGCUACGAAUCUUUGGCGGAAUUGCCAAGCGUCAUGACGCACGCUUCUAUUCCCGAGGCCACAAGGAACGAAUUAGGAAUCACGGAUCAGUUAGUUCGUUUGUCUGUUGGACUUGAAACGGAAAAAGAUUUGUUAGCUGAUCUUGAUCAAGCUUUAAAAGCUUCUCAAUGAUACCAAAAAUAUUAUUUUUCUAACAUAAUAUUUUCAACAUACACUACGGUUUGCUGACAUAGAGAAAUUAUUUUUUAAGGGAUCUUUUAUAUGUGACAUAUUGCCAUAAUGUGAUACAUUUCUUUCUACGCGUGUGUAUCGACUUUUCUAACUAAGUAUAAAGACAAUGUAAGCGUCAAAAGUGUUUAAAAGAAGUACAAAUAUGCCUUACCUAUACCUUUGACGUUUCUGCGAUUUAAGCCAAGAACGAUUGUAGUUAAAAACUUGAUAAGAAAAUAAUAGAAAGGAAAAAGACAAGAAAAUUGCGUUCUACAUUUUAUAGAUUUUGGAUGCGCCAAAAGGAGGUAUUUUUUAUUUGUAAUAUUAAAAACAAAAUGGAAUAAAUCGUUGAAGAUAUUGGAAA
RNAcentral lists this unclassified non-coding RNA (1725 nucleotides) under Polistes fuscatus (common paper wasp). RNAcentral's name for it is "cystathionine gamma-lyase, transcript variant X1". Lineage: Eukaryota; Metazoa; Arthropoda; Insecta; Hymenoptera; Vespidae. The record is from RNAcentral.